GAUGAACGCUGGCGGCGUGCCUAAUACAUGCAAGUCGAGCGGACGGACGAGAAGCUUGCUUCUCUGAUGUUAGCGGCGGACGGGUGAGUAACACGUGGAUAACCUACCUAUAAGACUGGGAUAACUUCGGGAAACCGUAGCUAAUACCGGAUAAUAUUUUGAACCGCAUGGUUCAAAAGUGAAAGACGGUCUUGCUGUCACUUAUAGCUGGAUCCGCGCUGCAUUAGCUAGUUGGUAAGGUAACGGCUUACCAAGGCAACGAUGCAUAGCCGACCUGAGAGGGGGAUAGGCCACACUGGAACUGGACCACGGACCAGACGCCUACGGGAGGCAGCAGUAGGGAAUCUUCCGCAAUAGGCGAAAGCCUGACGGAGCAACGCCGCGUGAGUGAUGAAGGUCUUCGGAUCGUAAAACUCUGUUAUUAGGGAAGAACAUAUGUGUAAGUAACUGUGCACAUCUUGACGGUACCUAAUCAGAAAGCCACGGCUAACUACGUG
Molecule: ribosomal RNA, 497 nt
Filed under: uncultured bacterium
Lineage: Bacteria
Description: partial 16S ribosomal RNA
Rfam family: Bacterial small subunit ribosomal RNA
Source: RNAcentral